GGCAGAGGGAGCCCGAUCCCCGUGCCCCCGCAGUCGCGGCGUCGCCGCCGGGACCCGUCGGGGCAUGAGGAAAGUCCCCCCACCGCCCGGACGGGCGACCGGACGCAAGUCCGGAGCCGGAGACGGCUGGCGCUGGAACAGAAACGACACCCCCCGGCCCGACCGAUGAGGUCCGCGAACCGACCCGCGAGGGGAGGGAGUUAACCGACCGAGGGCCCCGAGACUCCGCGUCUCGCGACGGCCGGGAACGGAUGGAACGGCGAAUCCUCGCCGGUGCAAGUCCGCGCCGACGGGGCGCACACGCGCCCCCGAUGGUAGUCCGGCCGCCGCCUCGCGCGGCGAGGCGCGGACGCGUAGCCGAAUGUCGGGACGAACAGAAGGGGGCUUACUCCCCUCAGCC
This 400-nucleotide RNase P RNA is filed under the name Halorarum salinum. Its description in RNAcentral is "Halobonum sp. NJ-3-1 RNase P RNA component". It matches the Rfam family "Archaeal RNase P". Rfam says of the family: Ribonuclease P (RNase P) is a ubiquitous endoribonuclease, found in archaea, bacteria and eukarya as well as chloroplasts and mitochondria. Its best characterised activity is the generation of mature 5'-ends of tRNAs by cleaving the 5'-leader elements of precursor-tRNAs. Lineage: Archaea; Methanobacteriati; Methanobacteriota; Halobacteria; Halobacteriales; Haloferacaceae. The record is from RNAcentral.